AGAGUUUGAUCCUGGCUCAGGAUGAACGCUGGCGGCGUGCCUAAUACAUGCAAGUCGAGCGAACAGACGAGGAGCUUGCUCCUUUGACGUUAGCGGCGGACGGGUGAGUAACACGUGGAUAACCUACCUAUAAGACUGGGAUAACUUCGGGAAACCGGAGCUAAUACCGGAUAACAUGUUGAACCGCAUGGUUCAACAGUGAAAGACGGUCUUGCUGUCACUUAUAGAUGGAUCCGCGCCGCAUUAGCUAGUUGGUAAGGUAACGGCUUACCAAGGCAACGAUGCGUAGCCGACCUGAGAGGGUGAUCGGCCACACUGGAACUGAGACACGGUCCAGACUCCUACGGGAGGCAGCAGUAGGGAAUCUUCCGCAAUGGGCGAAAGCCUGACGGAGCAACGCCGCGUGAGUGAUGAAGGUCUUCGGAUCGUAAAACUCUGUUAUUAGGGAAGAACAAAUGUGUAAGUAACUAUGCACGUCUUGACGGUACCUAAUCAGAAAGCCACGGCUAACUACGUGCCAGCAGCCGCGGUAAUACGUAGGUGGCAAGCGUUAUCCGGAAUUAUUGGGCGUAAAGCGCGCGUAGGCGGUUUUUUAAGUCUGAUGUGAAAGCCCACGGCUCAACCGUGGAGGGUCAUUGGAAACUGGAAAACUUGAGUGCAGAAGAGGAAAGUGGAAUUCCAUGUGUAGCGGUGAAAUGCGCAGAGAUAUGGAGGAACACCAGUGGCGAAGGCGACUUUCUGGUCUGUAACUGACGCUGAUGUGCGAAAGCGUGGGGAUCAAACAGGAUUAGAUACCCUGGUAGUCCACGCCGUAAACGAUGAGUGCUAAGUGUUAGGGGGUUUCCGCCCCUUAGUGCUGCAGCUAACGCAUUAAGCACUCCGCCUGGGGAGUACGACCGCAAGGUUGAAACUCAAAGGAAUUGACGGGGACCCGCACAAGCGGUGGAGCAUGUGGUUUAAUUCGAAGCAACGCGAAGAACCUUACCAAAUCUUGACAUCCUCUGACCCCUCUAGAGAUAGAGUUUUCCCCUUCGGGGGACAGAGUGACAGGUGGUGCAUGGUUGUCGUCAGCUCGUGUCGUGAGAUGUUGGGUUAAGUCCCGCAACGAGCGCAACCCUUAAGCUUAGUUGCCAUAAUUAAGUUGGGCACUCUAAGUUGACUGCCGGUGACAAACCGGAGGAAGGUGGGGAUGACGUCAAAUCAUCAUGCCCCUUAUGAUUUGGGCUACACACGUGCUACAAUGGACAAUACAAAGGGUGGCGAAACCGCGAGGUCAAGCAAAUCCCAUAAAGUUGUUCUCAGUUCGGAUUGUAGUCUGCAACUCGACUACAUGAAGCUGGAAUCGCUAGUAAUCGUGGAUCAGCAUGCCACGGUGAAUACGUUCCCGGGUCUUGUACACACCGCCCGUCACACCACGAGAGUUUGUAACACCCGAAGCCGGUGGAGUAACCUUUUGGAGCUAGCCGUCGAAGGUGGGACAAAUGAUUGGGGUGAAGUCGUAACAAGGUAGCCGUAUCGGAAGGUGCGGCUGGAUCACCU
RNAcentral lists this ribosomal RNA (1539 nucleotides) under Staphylococcus caprae. RNAcentral's name for it is "bacterial SSU rRNA". It matches the Rfam family "Bacterial small subunit ribosomal RNA". The record is from RNAcentral. Lineage: Bacteria; Bacillati; Bacillota; Bacilli; Caryophanales; Staphylococcaceae.